AAUUGUAUUAGGGAUAUCAUCUUCUUAUUCUGCAUUAGUCAACCUCCCACUGGUUGUUGCUUUGCUGUCGCACUUCCAUGCCUCCCAUUGUUGCUCUGACUGCUGCCAUUGUUGCUAUGCUCUGGUUGGUUUUUAACUUUUGAUUUGUUGUGGAAAAUUUCAAAUUGGUUUGUGAAUUUGUUGAGUUGAUUUGUGAAUGUGGAUUGAUUUGUGGAUUUGCCAAAUUGGUUUGUGAAUUUGUUGAGUUGAUUUGUGAAUGUGGAUUGAUUUGUGGAUUUGCCAAAUUGGUUUGUGAAUUUGUUGAGUUGAUUUGUGAAUGUGGAUUGAUUUGUGG
This 334-nucleotide unclassified non-coding RNA is filed under the name Hevea brasiliensis (rubber tree). The record is from RNAcentral. Lineage: Eukaryota; Viridiplantae; Streptophyta; Magnoliopsida; Malpighiales; Euphorbiaceae.